UCUACUGAGAAUUCUUACUCCUGCACAAAAUGGCUUAGAAAUCCUAUCCUUCUGACUAGCCAAUAGCGGAUCCAGAUUUAUGACCAGGUUAUGAGUGUGGGUGUUCCUUUUUUUUCCUGGUAGACUUUGAUAUGGUUGUGGAAGUCCUACUAGCUUGAGAUCUAGCUUGUUCUUCAUUGAGGUGUAGUAUUGAAGGCGGUUUGCUCUAGAGUUUAGUUUGUGAGGGGUACUUAUUGUUUUGGCCUUGUAUUUUUGCCUUGG
This 261-nucleotide long non-coding RNA is filed under the name Lathyrus oleraceus (garden pea). RNAcentral's name for it is "Pisum sativum (pea) long non-coding RNA (PSAT_LNC025468)". The record is from RNAcentral. Lineage: Eukaryota; Viridiplantae; Streptophyta; Magnoliopsida; Fabales; Fabaceae.